UUUCUGAUAGUCCAGUGGUUAAGACUCUGUGCUUCCAAUGCAGGGGUCAUGGGUUCAAUCCCUGAUCAGGGAA
RNAcentral lists this transfer RNA (73 nucleotides) under Bos taurus (domestic cattle). It matches the Rfam family "tRNA". Rfam says of the family: Transfer RNA (tRNA) molecules are approximately 80 nucleotides in length. Lineage: Eukaryota; Metazoa; Chordata; Mammalia; Artiodactyla; Bovidae. RNAcentral also lists the same sequence under 1 other name. The record is from Rfam by way of RNAcentral.